GAUGAACGCUGGCGGCGUGCCUAAUACAUGCAAGUCGAGCGAACGGACGAGAAGCUUGCUUCUCUGAUGUUAGCGGCGGACGGGUGAGUAACACGUGGAUAACCUACCUAUAAGACUGGGAUAACUUCGGGAAACCGGAGCUAAUACCGGAUAAUAUUUUGAACCGCAUGGUUCAAAAGUGAAAGACGGUCUUGCUGUUACUUAUAGAUGGAUCCGCGCUGCAUUAGCUAGUUGGUAAGGUAACGGCUUACCAAGGCAACGAUGCAUAGCCGACCUGAGAGGGUGAUCGGCCACACUGGAACUGAGACACGGUCCAGACUCCUACGGGAGGCAGCAGUAGGGAAUCUUCCGCAAUGGGCGAAAGCCUGACGGAGCAACGCCGCGUGAGUGAUGAAGGUCUUCGGAUCGUAAAACUCUGUUAUUAGGGAAAAACAUAUGUGUAAGUAACUGUGCACAUCUUGACGGUACCUAAUCAGAAAGCCACGGCUAACUACGUG
RNAcentral lists this ribosomal RNA (497 nucleotides) under uncultured bacterium. RNAcentral describes it as "partial 16S ribosomal RNA". It matches the Rfam family "Bacterial small subunit ribosomal RNA", at positions 28 to 507 of the family's 1533-position model. The record is from RNAcentral.